CAUCCCUAAUCAGACUUCCAAGAAAAACUUCUAAGGUUCGUUUAUAGCAGCCCGUACCGUAAACCGACACAGGUAGUCGAGAUGAGUAUUCUCAGGCGCUCGAGUGAUCCGUGGUAAAGGAACUAGGCAAAUUGACGCUGUAACUUCGGGAUAAGGCGUGCCGCAGUAAUGCGGCCUCAGUAAAAUGGUACAACCAACUGUUUAACAAAAACACAGGGCCCUGCAAAAUCGAAAGAUGACGUAUAGAGCCUGAUACCUGCCCGGUGCUGGAAGGUUAAGGAAGGAUGUUCGGAGCAAUCCAAAGCUUCUGACUGAAGCCCCAGUAAACGGCGGCCGUAACAAUAACGGUCCUAAGGUAGCGAAAUUCCUUGUCGGGUAAGUUCCGACCUGCACGAAUGGUCUAAUGAGUUGUACACUGUCUCUACCACGAGCUCGGUGAAAUUGUAGUAUCGGUGAAGAUGCCGGUUAAUCGCAACGGGACGGAAAGACCCCGUGAACCUUCACUACAACUUAACAUUGAUUUUGAAUGCCAGAUGUGUAGGAUAGUUGGGAGACUAUGAAGCAGCUUCGCUAGGAGUUGUGGAGUCAUCGUUGAAAUACCAACCUUCUGUUAUUUAGAGUCUAAUCCCUUAACGGGGAGACAUUGUUUGGUGGGUAGUUUGACUGGGGUGGUCGCCUCCUAAAAGGUAACGGAGGCUCGCAAAGGUACCCUCAGUACGGUUGGUAAUCGUACGUAGAGCGCAUUAGUAUAAGGGUGCUUGACUGUGAGGCAAACAAGCCGAGCAGGUGCGAAAGCAGGCUAAAGUGAUCCGGUGGUUCUGUAUGGAAGGGCCAUCGCUCAAAGGAUAAAAGGUACUCCGGGAUAACAGGCUGAUCUCACCCAAGAGCUCAUAUCGACGGUGAGGUUUGGCACCUCGAUGUCGGUUCGUCACAUCCUGGGGCUGGAGAAGGUCCCAAGGGUUCGGCUGUUCGCCGAUUAAAGUGGCACGUGAACUGGGUUCAGAACGUCGCAAGACAGUUCGGUCCCUAUCUGUUGUGAUCGUUAGUAAAUUGAGAGGACAUGACCUUAGUACGAGAGGACCGGGUCGUACAUACCGCUGGUGUAUCUGUUGUGCCGCCAGGUGCAGUGCAGAGUAGCUAUGUAUGGAUAGGAUAAACGCUGAAAGCAUCUAAGCGUGAAACCUGCUUCAAGAUGAGUUUACUUUUAAGGGCCGUCGGAGACUACGACGUUGAUAGGUUACAGGUGUAAGGGUGGUAACAUCGCAGCCGAGUAAUACUAAUUGCCCGUAAGCUUUAACGA
Molecule: ribosomal RNA, 1300 nt
Filed under: metagenome
Description: bacterial LSU rRNA
Rfam family: Bacterial large subunit ribosomal RNA
Source: RNAcentral